AGGACGAACGCUGGCGGCGUGCUUAACACAUGCAAGUCGAACGGAAAGGCCCUUUCGGGGGUGCUCGAGUGGCGAACGGGUGAGUAACACGUGGGUGAUCUGCCCUGCACUUUGGGAUAAGCCUGGGAAACUGGGUCUAAUACCGGAUAGGACUACGAAUCGCAUGGUUUGUGGUGGAAAGCUUUUGCGGUGUGGGAUGGGCCCGCGGCCUAUCAGCUUGUUGGUGGGGUGAUGGCCUACCAAGGCGACGACGGGUAGCCGGCCUGAGAGGGUGUCCGGCCACACUGGGACUGAGAUACGGCCCAGACUCCUACGGGAGGCAGCAGUGGGGAAUAUUGCACAAUGGGCGCAAGCCUGAUGCAGCGACGCCGCGUGAGGGAUGACGGCCUUCGGGUUCGUAACCUCUUUCAGUACCGACGAGCGCAAGUGACGGUAGGUACAGAAGAAGCACCGGCCAACUACGUGCCAGCAGCCGC
Molecule: ribosomal RNA, 476 nt
Filed under: uncultured bacterium
Lineage: Bacteria
Description: SSU rRNA
Rfam family: Bacterial small subunit ribosomal RNA
Source: RNAcentral